AGGACUAACGCUGGCGGCGUGCCUAACACAUGCAAGUCGAACGGGGGUAGCAAUACCCCAGUGGCAGACGGGUGAGUAACACGUGGUCAACCUACCUCUGUGUGGGGGAUAACUAGCCGAAAGGUUAGCUAAUACCGCAUACGAUCGUUUUGAGGCAUCUCGAGACGAUGAAAGGAGCAAUCCGCACGGAGAGGGGACUGCGUCCCAUUAGUUAGUUGGUGGGUAACGGCCUACCAAGACUCCGAUGGGUAGCUGGCUUGAGAGAGCGACCAGCCACACUGGAACUGAGACACGGUCCAGACUCCUACGGGAGGCAGCAGUGAGGAAUUUUCCGCAAUGGGCGAAAGCCUGACGGAGCGACGCCGCGUGUGGGAUGAAGGCCUCGGGUCGUAACCACUGUCGAAGGGGACGAUAUUGACGGUACCCUUGGAGGAAGCCCCGGCUAACUACGCGCCAGCAGCCGC
RNAcentral lists this ribosomal RNA (464 nucleotides) under uncultured bacterium. RNAcentral's name for it is "SSU rRNA". It matches the Rfam family "Bacterial small subunit ribosomal RNA", at positions 26 to 518 of the family's 1533-position model. The record is from RNAcentral.